Molecule: transfer RNA, 66 nt
Filed under: Orius sauteri
Lineage: Eukaryota; Metazoa; Arthropoda; Insecta; Hemiptera; Anthocoridae
Description: tRNA-Tyr
Source: RNAcentral
AAUAAGGUGUCUGAAGUUUUAGGUUGUAAAUUGUAAAUUUAUAUAUGGUAUAUUAGCCCCUUAUUA